This is a non-coding RNA of Xyrichtys novacula (pearly razorfish), 3483 nucleotides long. The record is from the annotation of a GenBank genome assembly. NCBI's taxonomy places the organism in Eukaryota, Metazoa, Chordata, Actinopteri, Labriformes, Labridae.
CUUUUCUCACCCCCGACUGCGAUGUUGACAUGUAGUUAUUAUUAGACUGGUUUGUGUUCAGGUCUUUUUUUCUCUCUGCAGCUCCAUUUUAAAAAGUUAUUAGGAGUUAUAAAAACAGGAAAUUGCGUCAUUCUCUACAUUUUGCACUUGCUGCUUGUGCGUCGCUCUUUUUCGUUCGUCAAGACCGAUCGGGUUUGCUAGUGGAGAAGAGGAUUACAUUUUUCCAUCGUUUUUCUCUUUUAUUGCAUUGGAAAAAUGAGUUGUUCUGCAGUAAACUGUGUUAACCGACAUGUGAAAUCGGGAUCUUUGCAGUUGUUUCGGUAAGUUAUGUUUUUUUUUAUGAAGUCAUCAGCUUGCUAGCUACAUAACAUUUACCGGUCUGGUUUAAUUUAGCUAAUGGGGUUUACUUACAGAUACCAAGCGGUAAGUUCUGUGCCUUAUUUAAGCGUUUUUAUGAGAAGUUAAACAAUGAGGAAACCCCUUUAAAUCCGCCUUCUUUUAAUAACAAUAUUAUGACUACGUGACUUUGAAUUUGAAUUAAAAACCGUACCGAUCACACAGAUUCAUACUAGCAACCAAAUACUACCACAGAGUAUCAGGGCAUGAAAUGAAAACUCGAGGCAUGAAGUCAUAAUGUUAAAGGAAUUAAUUCGCAUUUAAGUCAUUCCCCUAAUAUUGCAUCACUUUAUGAGAACAAGGCCAUGUAAAUGAAUAUAAUGAGAGUCAUGAUGUUAUGAGUCGAAGUUUUGGUAAUGGAUCAACCAGUUUUACUCGGGUAUGUAACAACGAGAGCAGCCUGCGCUAAAAUCAGGUAUGGUUUAAUUAAAAUGCAUCUUUCGGAUGCACCGUCCUAGCUUUCUGGUAGAAGAUUGACCGCCGGUUCAGUCUCCUCCGUACAGCGGCAGUAGUAUUACAGCUUCUGGUGACAUAACGAUAUUUGUCUAAGAUAAACCUCUGAAACUGUCUUUAAUGGGACAAAACGUCGAGAAAAUGAGACCCUAUAAGUGUAUAGAAGGACAUGCUCAAAAAAUUACUAAUACAAGUUGCAUAACUGUUAUUUAUUUUAUGUUAUCAAAUAACAUACAUAAGUCAUAAGUAUACUUCUGUGGAAUGACAAUUAUCAUUUACAGCAGCAUGGUAGAUCAUGUCUUAUUUAAGUUUUCAAGAUAGAUAGAUAGCCCUGUUACUUAUGAGAUCGAGAUAAAACUAUGAGUAAUGUAAUUAGUUAUGGAAAGACAGCUGCAUAUGACAUACUUAAUCAAUCACAAUGACAUUAAAAUUUUUGUUACAUGCAAAGAAAUCCCUCAAUUUUAAUAGGAUGUUCAUAAGACAUAUCACCCACAAGAUGAAAUGAUUUAGAAUAUAUAUACAGUUUGUAUAUUCAUUCACUUGAGGUAUUUUUUGUGAUUGUCUUUGAAUUUAGAGUUUUGGCUUCAGCCUGUUACGCAACAAAGCAAGAAUUAAACCGAACGCAAAACAUUAACUUUGUGUUGUUUACAAACUUGACAAAUGGCAGUAAGCAAUGUUUUUGUAUUUUUGUAAAGUUUCCCUUUAGGUGACAAAGCAAGGCUGAAGCAGUGGCUGGUGAACACAAGACGGCAGGACUGGAAACCAACAGGAUCAUCACGUCUUUGCAGUGCUCAUUUUGAAGAGCAUGCCUUUACUGUGGACUCAAAGGUUAAAUUAUUUCUUUUAUAAUGGACAGCAAUUUUUAUGAAGUUCACAUUUGCAACAAUUUAUUGUUAAAUUGACUAACACUUUGAAUCAUAAAAUGGCGGUUAUUUAAACAUUCCCAACAGCUGAACACUACAACUAUCGUGGUUCCAUUUUAAAUUACUGCUGUUUUUAUGUUUUUCUCUAGGGUAAGCGUUGCCUCAAGAUGACAGCUGUUCCAACUGUGUUUCCAGAUCACCAGGUAAGGUCCUCUGUGUUAGGUGUGAAACGCAGGAUUUUGGGAGGUAGUGACACAGAGGUAAGGCAGCCGUCACUUAAAUCAGCCAAGGUUUCUCAGGUCAGCAUACAAGAGUCACACGUAGACCAAGGCAACAUUAGCUUUCCAUCUGCUGCCGAUUACAGCAAUGCCACUUUGACUGAAAAUGCAAAUGGGAAUGACCCAUUAAGCAUUGGCAUCUGUCAGGCUGACACUGCUGUAACAGUGAAUGCAUUUAGGGAAGACCACAGUUAUUCAGCAUCAGCACCAAUGAAUGCAGCACUUGUCCCCAUUGGAGAGGAUCACAGCUACCAUCUGAAGUCUCCUAAAACUCUGAAAAAGAAAAGUCAGGCCACUGAAAAGAUUGUGGUUAGGGUGUGUCGUGGUGAGUGGGCUUUCAACUAAGAUGGGCCUUCUGUGUUACAUGUAUUAAAGCCACAUCAGAAACAAGAUCAGAACAAAAGUAUUUUAACAGUAAGGAAAUAGAUUGUGAAGUCAAGACAGAAAUGAGAAAAGAGUGAGAUUAAAAUGUCAUUAAAUUUAGGUAUUUGCAUGUAGUUGUAGUGUCUGCUACCAUCUACUGGUCAUUAUUAGUUAGUGUCAUCAGUCAUUUUCAGUUUAAGUUGGCGCAGCCUGGAGUAAAAAAAACAGGAAUCAUGUUGCAAAAAAAAUUUGAGUGAUACCACAUGAACAACUUCUUAUGCUUAGACCAAAUGUGCCCUGUUAGAUAAAGGUAACAGCACUAGCCAAGUAGUAGUCUCUAAGAAUGCUAACUAAAUGAAACCUUUUAAAUAAUUGGACAAGUAUAUCAAAACCUCUCAAGUUUUCAUGCUGAGCUACCACCUGGUUUGAGACACAAGUGUCUUAAUGAAUUUAAGUACUGGUAUUCACAAUUUAAUUGAUGAAUUUUAUUUGUGUUUUUCAGACUUCAUCACCAACCACUGAUGAUAUGGUGGAUUCAUCUGCUGCAGCCUGUUUCCUUUCCACCCAAUGCAACUCCCAAAGUACUAGAUUAUAUCUUUUUAAGUUCCUGGUAAAAUAACAAACAUACAGGUUUUCUGCAAAGGAGUUAAGUAUUUAUAAAUCACAAAUAAAUACUAAAAUGCUAGUGUCCUCUCACAAGUGUCCAUGUCAUGCUAUCUGAUUUACAUUAAUUACAUGCUGUUCACUACACAUAUUGUCAGUUUGUUUUUUCAGUUUUACCACACUUUGUCCACUUCAUGGUGAGGACUCGCACACAGAAAGAUGGAAAAGACAAAUGUCUUGAAAAGUUGGAUCCAUUUUAUUGCUAGGAAUAAAAUGGAUCCAACUUUUUUGAGACAUUUGUCUUUUCCAUCUUUCUGUGUGUGAGUCCUUUACAGCCUUUUUGAAUUGUCUUAUCUGACCAUUGCACCAGAAGCAAGAAUACUAGGACUGAUGUUAAGCUCUUUUCUUGUUAAUCACUUGAUGAUGAGUACAUAAGAAAUGCAUUGACUUCGUUGUGGUAUGUUUUUUUCUUUUGAUAGCUUUACAUGAAAAAUAAAAUUUUGAGACAAAUACUCUGGAAUAAUAAA